This 403-nucleotide ribosomal RNA is filed under the name uncultured bacterium. RNAcentral's name for it is "bacterial SSU rRNA". It matches the Rfam family "Bacterial small subunit ribosomal RNA", at positions 355 to 776 of the family's 1533-position model. The record is from RNAcentral.
UGGGGAAUAUUGCACAAUGGGCGAAAGCCUGAUGCAGCAACGCCGCGUGAGCGAUGAAGGCCUUCGGGUCGUAAAGCUCUGUCCUCAAGGAAGAUAAUGACGGUACUUGAGGAGGAAGCCCCGGCUAACUACGUGCCAGCAGCCGCGGUAAUACGUAGGGGGCUAGCGUUAUCCGGAAUUACUGGGCGUAAAGGGUGCGUAGGUGGUUUUUUAAGUCAGAGGUGAAAGGCUACGGCUCAACCGUAGUAAGCCUUUGAAACUGAGAAACUUGAGUGCAGGAGAGGAGAGUAGAAUUCCUAGUGUAGCGGUGAAAUGCGUAGAUAUUAGGAGGAAUACCAGUUGCGAAGGCGGCUCUCUGGACUGUAACUGACACUGAGGCACGAAAGCGUGGGGAGCAAACAGG